UACGGAGGGAGCGAGCGUUAAUCGGAAUUACUGGGCGUAAAGCGCAUGCAGGUGGUUAAUUAAGUCAGAUGUGAAAGCCCGAGGCUUAACCUCGGAAGGUCAUUUGAAACUGGUUAACUAGAGUAUUGUAGAGGGGGGUAGAAUUCCAGGUGUAGCGGUGAAAUGCGUAGAGAUCUGGAGGAAUACCGGUGGCGAAGGCGGCCCCCUGGACAAAGACUGACGCUCAGGUGCGAAAGCGUGGGGAGCAAACAGG
This 253-nucleotide ribosomal RNA is filed under the name uncultured bacterium. RNAcentral describes it as "partial 16S ribosomal RNA". It matches the Rfam family "Bacterial small subunit ribosomal RNA", at positions 524 to 776 of the family's 1533-position model. The record is from RNAcentral.